This 458-nucleotide RNase P RNA is filed under the name Verrucomicrobiota bacterium. Its description in RNAcentral is "Verrucomicrobia bacterium (rhizosphere metagenome) RNase P RNA component class A". It matches the Rfam family "Bacterial RNase P class A". Rfam says of the family: Ribonuclease P (RNase P) is a ubiquitous endoribonuclease, found in archaea, bacteria and eukarya as well as chloroplasts and mitochondria. Its best characterised activity is the generation of mature 5'-ends of tRNAs by cleaving the 5'-leader elements of precursor-tRNAs. The record is from RNAcentral. Lineage: Bacteria; Pseudomonadati; Verrucomicrobiota.
GUGGCAGACGAUCGCUGGCCUGAAAUGUUUCUCGCCAGAGGAAAGUCCGAACACCCGAGGGCGGCAUGCCUUGUGAAAGCGAGGGUACCCGGGAUCCAAAUCCCGAGUAACGGAUAGUGUCACAGAAAAUAGACCGCCCAGCACGGUCAGUUGCCAGUGGUCAGUAUCAAUCGCCGGUCACACUGACCACUGCCACCUGGUCGUGUUGGGUAAGGGUGAAAAGGCGGGGUAAGAGCCCACCGGAUCGUCCGCGUAAGCGGGAUCGCACGAAAAACCCCAUGUGGUGCAAGACAAAGCAGAGGGAAGAGUGGCCCGCUCGUCCUUUUCGCGAAAGCGGGAAGGAUCCCUCGGGUAUUAGUCGCAUCCGGCAUUUUAUGCCGGGCACUCAGGAAACCGAGUGAGAUAAAUGAUCGUCAUUGCGCGAAAGCGGAAAACAGAAUUCGGCUUAUGCCAUUCAA